RNAcentral lists this microRNA precursor (200 nucleotides) under Oryza nivara. Its description in RNAcentral is "MIR812 microRNA precursor family". It matches the Rfam family "MIR812 microRNA precursor family". The record is from Rfam by way of RNAcentral. Lineage: Eukaryota; Viridiplantae; Streptophyta; Magnoliopsida; Poales; Poaceae.
AAAGACCGUAGUUUUUUCUGUUUAUGUUUAGCGUUUGACCGUCCGCUUUAUUUGAAAUUCUUUUAUGAUUAGUAUUUUUAUUGUUAUUAGAUAAUAAAACAUAAAUAAUACUUUAUGUAUGACUAAUUGUUUUCUAAAUUUUUUCAUAAAUUUUUUAAAUAAGACGUACGGCGUUAGACACAAAAACUACUACACAUGAG